CUGCGGAGGANCAUUAUCGAAUUAUAAGCGAGGGUUGUCGCUGGCCUCUUUCGAGGCAUGUGCACGCCCGAGCUCUUAAAUCCACAACACACCUGUGAACCCACCGUAGGCCUUCGGGCUUAUGUAUCAUAUACUCUGAAUGUGUCAUAGAAUGUUCAUGUUGCCUUAAAACGCAAUCAAAUACAACUUUCAACAANGAAUCUCUUGGCUCUCGCAUCGAUGAAGAACGCAGCGAAAUGCGAUAAGUAAUGUGAAUUGCAGAUUUUCAGUGAAUCAUCGAAUCUUUGAACGCACCUUGCGCUCCUUGGUAUUCCGAGGAGCAUGCCUGUUUGAGUGUCAUUAAAUNCUCAACCCCACCGAUUUGCUUUGGGGGGAUUGGACUUGGAGUGUGCUGGCGAAGGUCGGCUCCUCUUUAAAUGCAUCAGUGGAGAGAAACUUGCCCCAGUGUGAUAAUCCUGUUGCNCUGUGGUGGGCGAAGUCUGCUUCCAACCGUCCCUCCGGGGACAUACAUCAUCUCAUUUUGACCUCAAAUCAGGUAGGACUACCCGCUGAACUUAAGCAUAU
RNAcentral lists this ribosomal RNA (564 nucleotides) under uncultured fungus. Its description in RNAcentral is "eukaryotic LSU rRNA". The stretch from base 185 to 339 matches the Rfam family "5.8S ribosomal RNA". The record is from RNAcentral. Lineage: Eukaryota; Fungi.